CUUCCACCAUAAUUGCAAAGGAAUCCCAAUUUCUCUCCAACAACCUACUUCCUAAUGGCAAGUUCCUAUAUUAGGAUCAGGAUAAUAUGCAUAAAAAUAGUUCAUAAAUACUUAUUAAGUUUUCAUUCAUUAUCAAAGAGCUUUUCUCUUAGAAAGGGGAACUAUCAUGUUUUGAGCGCUUCCUAUGUGCUAGGCACUGUACCAAGAACUUUACAGGCAUCAGGCAUCAUGCUUUUUCAAUUUCAUAACAACUUUUUGAGAAAGGGACUAUUUUUUUUAUUGAAGUGUGACUGACAUACAAUAUUCUGUUAGUUUCAUGUGUACAACACAGUGAUUCAACUUUUGUAAACAUUGCAAAAACUGAUCAUCACAAUAAGUCUAGUUACCAUCUGUCACCUUGCAAAGUUAAUACAAUAUUAUUGACUGUAUGCUGAAAGGGAUUAUUAUUAUCCCCAUUUUUACAGGGGAUUUUACAUUUUACAGUCUGUUUCCUCCAACAGACUCCUAGAAUUGAAGCAAUUUGUCCAAGUUCAAAUACAAAGCCAGUUUUGGAACCCAGGUGAGUCUGACUUCAAAUUCUCACUCUUACUGUUGCUUAUGUAAGUAGCAUAUGGAAGUAUGAAACAGUGAGAGUGUCAGACAACAUGCAUAGUUAACAAACAACCAGGCAAAGUUAGAUAAUAGGCCAGUUCAGUAGGUGGAUGUGUAAAGCAAAUGUGUGCCUUUGCUAGGAUGACUUAGCCCCAGGUCUCCGACAGCAGGUAAAAGUGAAAAAAUAGGCGGCCUGUGAGAUAAUGCUCCCCCAAGAUAUUUCCCCAUUUUCUUUCCCACCUCCAGGUGCACCACAACUCAUUGUGAAUGUCCCUCCCUCACCAAAGGCUGUGCUGCAGAUGGUUCAGAACUUCUUUUGUCUCUUUCUCAUCAAAAUUCCCUGGAUCAUAAAAAAAGUUAAAAGCACUUAUCUGGAUACCUUGAAAACUGCUCGCAAGUCUUUGGAGGCAACCAACCUGAAGACUUGGACACACCUGCUGCACUCCUAUGUCAUUCUUUGGGACAAAGUGGGGUGACCUGGCCAUUGCCAAGGUGACAUGAGACUUUGCAGUUUCCUGGUAAAGAGAUACAAGGGCUCUGUCAGUUUAUUACACUUAUGGCCUUAGGUCAACUUCUAAAUCUCAGUUUCCAAAUCUGUAAAGUAGUGAUAAAUUACAUUCUCAGGGCCUUGGUGGGGAUUAACGGAGAUAGUCUAUAUUAAACGCUUCACCCUGUCCUUGGCACAUGUAGCAUUCAAAACAUAAUUGUAUGUGUGGUUUCACACUGGGAACAAGGGAAACGAUGUCCUUUUGACUCUUUGUCUUGAACUCCCGAACCCGAACAGCUCUGCCUCUCCAUUUCCUUGGCUCCGUAUUCCUCUGACCUCUGGGGAGAGGACAGCAAUGAUGAUGAAAGAGACCUCUGCUAGCACUCUCAAUGCCAUCAUUACAGCCUAUUGCAUAGCUUACAUAUUUUCAGCUAUUACCUUUUCCCUGUUUAGAUCAUGCAUUUUCCCUUAGAGCAAAUCCAGGGGCAAAUCUUCAUCCUCAUCUCACUGGCCGCCUGCAUGGUUGCUGCAUGAGAAACAGCUGGAGUUGCAAGAUUUGAGAAAAAUAAGGAAAAAUAAGGAAAAUGAUGGAUACAUAGCCAUUUGCACAUAAAAAUCAUCUGCUUUCACCAAAGCAGAGGGUAAAAGAACAUUCCUAAUCUGCUUCAAGUUAUUUGAGGUUCCAUUCUUGUAACAAUAGUAGAGUUAAUUAUAUUGUGUAUAACUCACUGAUCAUACUCUUUUUUUAUUUUAUUUUAUUUUAUUUUAUUUUAUUUUAUUUUAUUUUAUUUUAAAGACUUUAUUUAUUCAUGAAAGACGGGCGGG
Vulpes vulpes (red fox) is the source of this 1903-nucleotide long non-coding RNA. The record is from Ensembl. NCBI's taxonomy places the organism in Eukaryota, Metazoa, Chordata, Mammalia, Carnivora, Canidae.